CAGAAGCGGAGAAUGGAAGUAAAGGGGAAGUGGUUGCCACUAGGUGCGCGUAUGUCAAAAGGGAGGCGCGAUACGACAGCCGCCGUCGCAGUGAACAAUAGUGGUAGUAGUGUAGCUCUUGCAACAUUCUGUGUACAAUUAUCUUAUUCUUUUUUUCCCAUUUUUUUCUGAAAGUUUUUUUAUUUUGUUUUUUUUUUUCAUUCACUUAUUACACGACUUUGUAUAUCACAGUUACAUCACAUUUCAUCAACGUCAAUAAUUAAUCAUCAAAGUAUAAAUGAGCGCGUUUUAGAGAUUACCAUAAUAAUUUCCUUGAUUUGCUUCCGCGGUAUUCGACCCCGUCGGUACGGACUCCGUUUCACCACUACCACCGCCACCAUCACCAUGUUACCAAAAUCGGGUCAUGAUGUGUGAUAGAUAGCAACUAUGGCGGUGGGCACGUGCUACUGAAGCCCACCCCACCACAACCUGGAGCCCCUAACCCAGGCGUCGCUGGUGCUCACCAUGGCGGUCGCCAUCAUCCUCCUUAAUAUCCUCAUCAUCGCUACAUUCACCAACAUACGAGGUGGAGGAGAGGUGAUGAAUGUAUACUUGGUGUCACUAGCUUUAGCCGACCUACUCUAUGGUGUGCUCGUUGUACCUUUUUCCGUGUAUCCAGCACUAGUCCAGAAUUGGGUGUAUGGUGAUAUCGCAUGUAGUCUUAUAGGGUAUAUUGAAGUAUCACUAUGGGCUGUAUCAGCAUAUACCCUUAUGUGGAUAAGCGUAGACAGAUACAUCGCGGUACGCAAGCCAGUCAGAUAUUUUACUGUACAAACACGAACUAGGUGUCAGUGUUGGAUGGCAUUCACAUGGAUAUCGUCGGCAAUGUUAUGUUGCCCUCCUCUAUUAGAUUUUGAUAAUAAGGCUCAUUAUGACCCUGAAACUGCAGUAUGUAUGCUUAACUGGCAAAUUAUGACAGCUUAUUCGGUAACGCUGUCCAUACUCAUAUUGGGUCCCAGUCUAAUCACAAUUUUGUAUACGUACAUAUAUAUCUACGGUGCCAUCAGAAGACUACGUCGAGGGUUUUUAGCGCAUGAUAAGGAAUAUGUCACUGCACUUUCGGAAAACUUAUCCAACCCUACACACGUCACUUCUUUUGUGUUAAUUGUAACGUUCUGGGUGUGUUGGACGCCUAUGAUGUCUAUUAAAGCGUAUCAGCAGCUGGGAAAUUCGCCCCCAGUACCCGCUCAAGUGUGUUUCUACGCCCUUUGGCUAGGUAUAUCCAAUUCGAUUUGGAAGGCAUUUGUGCUCAUCUUUCUUAGCCCGCAGUUUCGUGUCAUGCUCAGAUUACUAUGUUUGACGGUGUCUUGUCGGAGAAAAAAUCGCGCAGAACACGAGUUAUUGCAACACGCCAUGGAAGAUCACUUCCUAUAAGUUAAGUAUUAUUGAUAUUUUUCUUGUGAUUACAAUUAUAUUGUUAAACUUCAUUUUUAUUAUUAAUCGAAUGUUCUUCCCGAGAGCAAUCAUUCGUCCAUUUGUUAAAGUUUUAUUCAAACUAAACAAACUAGAAUAAAAAAUGAUUAAAACAAAAAUAAAAAAUAGCAACAAAGAUAAUAAACACUUAUGCAUAGAAAUUUACUGUCAAACGAACUAUUUCAAAAAAUGAUGGCUUAAUUAGUUCAUGAUCAUAUAUUAUAUUUUCUAUACUAAAAUAAAAAAAAUUCUAUUAAUAGAAAAUUAAUUUUUUGUUUUAAUGAAAUAAUGUGAAUAUGAAAUAAAUUGAUUUUUUUAAGCCAACAUUUCUAGAUUUGAACUUUUAAAAGCAUUAAGUAUUAAUUAAAUAAACUUCGAGUCACAUCAUUCAUUCACAGAGUUGGGCAUAAGAAAAAUAAGAACUAUGUUAUUAAGUCAUGGAUGAAUUUAAUAGGAAAAAAAUAUAUUUAAUAAAAACUGCAGGGCUUUCUUGUUGUUGUUACAUGAUUUAACUUAUGAUAUUCGUUAUUUUUUAAAAUCAUUAAAAAAUUAUCCCUGUAUGUUAAAACAAUAUACGCAGUUAAAUGAUAAAGAAAUAUAAAUUCAUAUCCAUCUCCUGAAAUAUAAAGACACUAAAAUUUUUCCUGGUUUUGUUGUGUUAGUUAAAAUUUAGACCAUGAAUAUAUGCCAAUCAAAUUAAUAAAUCGCACUACAUUUGUUUUGUUUAGUUUUUUGUAUAAUAGUUUAAGUAAUUUUUACACAAUAAUAGUUUUUGAAAUUGAAAAAGAUAUGCAUACUUAACAUAAUAUUUUUUUAAGUGUAAUUUAAUAAGAUUUUUUGUUUCUUUAGUACUAUUAAUUUAUUAUCAUUAACUAAGAAUAAUUUUAAUUUUUUACUAUAAUGGAUUGGGCCUACGUCAAAAUAAUGUAAUUAAUUGAUUUUAACAAUUGUUAGUUAUGCUUUUUAUUAUCGUAAGUGCUCUAAACUCUUAAAAUUUUUGGGAAUAAAAGGUAAAAAUAAGUUAACUAUAAAUAUAAAAUUUUUCCAGUGUUCAAAUAUCUUUGUUACAAAUAAAUAUGUUAUCGUCAAUUAGUAGUUGAAUAAAUAAAAAUAAAAUUGUUACCCUGUUUUGUUAAACGCGUUUGACUAAAUUAAUUAUAAAUACACUAAAUAUAUUCUAGUCUUGAAUAUACACAUUAUUUUUAACCUUAUUUAUUUAAAUCUUAUACUAGAUACGAAUAUACAAUCGAAAUGUCUAAUUAUGGGCACUAUCUCUAUAAAUUAUGUACAAAAAUAUAUAUUUACCUCAAAUACAUAAACAUUAAUACAGAAAUACUAGGUGGGUUGAGCAACACAUUAAGUUACUGUUAAAAGAGUCAGCAUUCUUUCAAUAAAAUCAACUAUUAUAAAUAAAUAAUAAAAAAUAUAUAUUUGAAGUAAAAUAGAAAUAUAAUUUUUGGACGAUACUUUACCACAAAAUUAAAAUUAUAUGGAGAUAGUGUCCUACAUAACUAUAGGCGCAAUUUGAGUGGUUUGGGAAGAUUUAACUCCUUUAAAAUUUCAGAAAAAUAAAAAAUAUGAUUAUACUAAAAACAAAUCAGAGGGAGGACAAAAUUAGGUAUAAUGAACCCUACAAUAAUUGUGUUGUAAUUGCGCCUUUGUAGAUAAUAAAAUAUGCAUUUUUUUUUUAAUUGCAUUAUCAUUGAAAUAAUAUACUUCAUUUUUAAACUAACCCUUUCUACUUUUAAUUCGAUGAUAUCAAUUUUAUGACUUCUAUUUUAAUAGUUUUUUAUAAAACAUUUUUAAGUUUUCCAUUUCAUAGGGGAAUAUUUUUAGCUAAAUAAUAUUUAAAUCAUUGUCAACAGGGUUAGUUCAUUUUACUAUUAUUUCAAACCAUAUAUUAAUUUACUGUUGUUAGGGCCAUAAAUUAUUAAUUGUAUGUAUCAUAUAUAUAAAUUGCAUAAAAACGUAGGGAGAAAUUGAAGCUUCAUUAUAAUAGAAAUAAAUGUUAAUUUAUACUUUGGAUAAUCAACGAAGCUCAAUAUAAAUUUUGUUUGUAGUUAGUCUUAGAGGAAAUAUUUAGUUUUACAAAAGUUACCAAAGAACCCUUUAAGUUAGGUUUUAGGUGCGCAGUUAUUGUGAUAGUAGCAUUAUUAUAUAAAACUAAUGUUGUUGUAUAGAAAUUGUUUUCUUAUUUAUUGGUCAUUUGUUGUUUAAAUUUAUCUCCAAUACCUAAAUGUUUAGAAUAUAUUAUAAGUUAUAUUUUAAUCCGUUUAAAGUUAGUGUAAAAUAACAGUAGCUCUGUUUAUAUUUAAACAAUCAUUUUAUAAAACCAUGAAAAUUUCCACGUAAAUUUACAUUACCUAAAAUAAUAUAUCCAUUAUAUGUUUUACAAAAUAAUUUUAAUUUAUAAUUCUAUCACACAUUUGCUAUAAAAUCAAAUCUUUUAUCUUGUUCAAUGAAUUUUUUUUAUUAAAUUUUGGUAUUAUUCCAGGUGUGCGUUAAUUUGAAUAAAAUUAUUUGACUAAUAUAUAAUAAAAAAAUUUUAAUUUUGAAUAGUAUUUAUAUUAUAUAAUCUUGAAAUAUUAAAUGAAUUUUAUUUAAAAUAUUCUAGCAAUCUAAAAUUGAUGACAUUUUAAAGUACAAAACUUAAUUUAUCAUUCAUUGAACUUAUUUACAAUAAUUUCAAAUGGUUCAUUAAUUACUUUGUAAAUGCUAAGAUAUCCUCAAGAAGGUUUAAAAGAGAUGGAAAUUAAUAUUAAAUUAUGAAUUUUAAAUAUGUAAAAAUGAAAGUAUAAACGUUUUUGAAGUAAUAUACUAUUUAAUACAAUUAAAAUAAACUACAGAAGUUUUUUUUCUUACCACAUUAAACACUACAAAAAAAAAUAAAUAAAUAAACAAUAGACAUUUAAAUAUUAAGAAUAAACUUGAACAAUGAAUGAGUUUUAAUAAAAUCAUUAUCGUAGAUAAAUUGCCCAUUUUUUUCAUCACUAUAAUUCAUAUUUGAAAAAAAAAUUUUAUAUCUGUUCGAACGUGUAAGUCACUUUGUUAAAAUUUAUAUUAAUAUUAACCAUAAAAUAUUACAAUAAACAUUAUUAUACAGAGUGUCCAGUAAGUAAAAAAAUAUGAAAAUUGUUAUAAACAAUGAGAAAAAUAGAAACCUGUUUCUUACUUACUGAACAUUCUAUUUAAUGAACUAUUUUUAUAGUUCCAAAGAUAUUUCUUUUGUCUAGUUUUUUUUUCUUAAGAAAAUUUGUUAAAUGUUAUUCUAUAAAACAAAAUAUUUAACAAUUUUAAAAAGGACUUAAUAUUUAUUGAUCAAUGAUGAUUAAAUUACAAAAAAAAUAAUUUUUUAUAAAAAAAAAUUCGUAUAAUUGAUCUUUAUUUUAUGACUCAAAUUUA
Molecule: RNA transcript, 4854 nt
Organism: Daktulosphaira vitifoliae (grape phylloxera)
Lineage: Eukaryota; Metazoa; Arthropoda; Insecta; Hemiptera; Phylloxeridae
Gene: DopEcR
Gene name: beta-1 adrenergic receptor
Exons: 6
Source: RefSeq, a predicted model, not a curated record